Long non-coding RNA from Bubalus bubalis (water buffalo), 978 nucleotides. RefSeq lists it as uncharacterized. The transcript is spliced from 2 exons. The record is from RefSeq and is a predicted model, not a curated record. NCBI's taxonomy places the organism in Eukaryota, Metazoa, Chordata, Mammalia, Artiodactyla, Bovidae.
UAUAUUUCAUUUCUAUUUUUCCAGGUUUUUAAAUUUUUUUUUUAAAUACCCCCACUUAACUUUAAAUAGUUAAAUAUUCCACAUAAUUUUAAGGAAAAAAGGAAAAAGAAACCACCAAGAGCACCGUGAAUCUCAGAGAUCAGCAGUCCACCGCCUCGCCAUCCCCAACUCUGCUCCCUAGUGGCUGCCCCAGAUAGUCACCCCCAAUGGAUAUAUACAAGGUGAAAAAUGGAGUUGGGCAGGAAGAACGGAAACUGAAAUUGGCUGUUACUAAUAUCAGGCAUCUAGCUAGAUACUUUCAGACACAGGAUGAGCGUGGAAAUUCGCUGUGUUACCACACUUCUCAUUUCUGGUGAAGACAUUGGUCUGGCCAGAGAGGCCCAGGGAUCAACAGUCCCAUCAGCCUGUGGCUGCAGUCCCUGUGGAGCCCUGAGCAGAAGGAAGGCCUGCUCUUGACCUGGCGCUGCUCUGUGACCCGAGCUCCUCAGUUCCACGACUCCCGUGUGAACUAACAGCGGCACCUUUAUUUGUAACUCUCAGUGUCUCAAUUCUCUAAAAGGGUCAGCCUCCCCCAGUCAUCCCCAGCACGUCGAAUGAGGAACUUAACCUGUGAAGGAGCCCUUCCUGGGGACCCCGGCCCUGUAGCUUCCUCCUCAGAUGUCGCUGUGGACCAGCCCCCUCCCAGGUCCCCACCAGCCUGCUCCAGGGUGCCUCCGGGCUUCAGAGAAAGUUGGUUACUGAGCGCCUUCAGACACAGAGGUUCCCAGCUCUGCAUCAGAGGACCACUGCGGCCCAGCCUUUGCCGCAGCGAGAAGGGUUCCUAAGGACCUCUCCUUCCGGGUCAGCACACUUGACUCCGGGCCAGGGCCAGUCUGUCUGAAUCACAGCAUUCCAGUUGCGCCCCCCUCACCCCCACCAGAGGCUUCUGCAGCUUUUUGCUCAUACAAACAAAAAUAAAUCUCACUACCGGCCUCUGAA